UGGGUAAUCUUUGAACGUGAAUCGUGCUGGGGAUAGAUGGUUGCAAUUAUUCAUCUUCAACGAGGAAUUCCUAGUAAACGCAAGUCAUCGGCUUGCAUUGAUUACGUCCCUGCCCUUUGUACACACCGCCCGUCGCACCUACCGAUUGAAUGACCCGGUGAAAUCUUCGGAUCGUGAUCUUGCCCGAUUCAUUUCGGGCGAUGUUGCGAGAAGUUGUUUAAACCUUGCCAUUUAGAGGAAGGUGAAGUCGUAACAAGGUUUCCGUAGGUGAACCUGCGGAAGGAUCAUUA
Molecule: ribosomal RNA, 290 nt
Filed under: uncultured stramenopile
Lineage: Eukaryota
Description: partial 18S ribosomal RNA
Rfam family: Eukaryotic small subunit ribosomal RNA
Source: RNAcentral